CCCCGGAAGCUUUUAAAUUAGAUGCCUCAACAAAGAUUCAUCAUCACAUUUAAAAAUGUAUUCAAUGGCCACAAUUCCCAUUCUGAGAAUUUACAAGACAAUAAUGGCACAUCAGCAUCAUUUGUUAGCCAAAUGGGGAGAGAACCACCCCAUGUUUUGCCUGUCAUUUUAUGAGAAAAUACCACAAGAAACUAAGAAGCUCAACUGAGACUAGAAAUCAUUUGGGAGCAAGUCCAUGAAAUUAUCAAUCGUCUUUCUGAUGCAAAACACUAGGCAGGCUAUUAUUUAAACCAUUGAGAGCAGCAUGAUAUACUCGCUUCUCAGCUAGUCCAAUAUCUGACAUAACUAAAUCACCCUCAUGAGCCAUUAAACGUCGGACAUUACAAGCAUACAGCUUUGGGUCGUCCUUCUCCUCCUGUGAUGGGUAGUAAACAGGUAACCUUUUCACUUCUAUGUAAUUUAUGAAUUGACAGAGGAGAAAAAUCACAUGGCGCACCCCAGAAAUUGAAUCCCAGGCAGGACUGAAUCUCUGGUAAGGAUAUCUCAGAAUCACUGGAAGCACAGGAACACCAGCUAAGAAUGCACCUGUCUUGAAUGGAAGAAGGAAGUCUCCAUUUGUGGUGGUGCCUUCAGGAAACAGCAUCAUCGUAGGAGCAGACCUAUUCUGAUAAGCUUCUCUAACUCUUUCAGUCACGAGACCUGCAACGCCCUUGAAGUCCGAUGACUUUGACUCUCUCUGAACAUAGACACAACCAAGGCACUUGCUGAUGAGACCAACAAGAGGAAGUUUAGCCACUGAUCUCUUGGCAACAAAACUUGGAAAAGAAGAAGACAUGUGAUACAAAAUAUCUAAAUACGAAAUAUGAUUAGAAAUUAUUGCCCCAGGUCUUUCGGGUUCUGCAGAUUGAUCUCUGCCCUCAUUCUGAGAGAAAGACUUGUCUUGAGGCUGCUCUACAAUCCUAUAGGUUUCCUUAAUCCAACAAAAUCCAAACAGGAAAAGCAUAGCUCUAGAGAGAAAACUCCCGCACCUUACAAUCACGUCCCUUCUCCACCCUCCCAUAUGCGCGAAAUCCUCCUGCUCCUCCUCCUCGUCCCUGUUCGGAGCGGAGAACAGCGUGCAAAUCCUACAAAUCGUGUAAUAAAAUAACAAUAUUAUCAUUGCAAGCACAACUCGAAUCGGCAACAGCGUCACCAACGAGAUGCCUAGCAGGAACUUCUCCACCAAAGGCAGCUCGCCGCGUCCCAUGGUCCCGUAUACGUCGUUGCGUACGAACGCAGCGAAUUUCUUCUCCAGCUCUUCAAUACUCUCCGACGAAGACAUCCGGUUAGCGUCGGAUUUGAGGAGAGGACGAUCAUCCUUGGUGGAGGCAUCGUCGUGGGCGGGUUCCAGUUGAGAUUCGAGUGGGUGGAGCUUGGAAGGAUCCGGAUUCAUAUCUUCAAGCUCCGACUCCAUUGUUUUAUAGAAGAAAAGAAAUAAUGGUAAUAAUCAACGGAUUGAUUUUAGGGGAAUAGAGAAGAUUAAAUUGGAUUAGCCAUGGCUGCUUCCCGUAAGUUGUAGAUCUGAGUCUGAGAAAAGGGUAAGUGCCACGGUCUCUAUCUCUAUCUGUCUC
Molecule: unclassified non-coding RNA, 1610 nt
Filed under: Hevea brasiliensis (rubber tree)
Lineage: Eukaryota; Viridiplantae; Streptophyta; Magnoliopsida; Malpighiales; Euphorbiaceae
Source: RNAcentral